CCUACGGGAGGCAGCAGUGGGGAAUAUUGCACAAUGGGGGGAACCCUGAUGCAGCAACGCCGCGUGAGUGAAGCAGCAUUUCGGUGUGUAAAGCUCUAUCAGCAGGGAAGAAAAUGACGGUAACUGACUCAAGAGCCCCCGCUAACUACGUGCCAGCAGCCGCGGUAAUACGUAGGGGGCGAGCGUUAUCCGGAUUUACUGGGUGUAAAGGGAGCGUAGACGGUGCAGCAAGGCUGAAGAGAAAGGUCGGGGCCCAACCGCGGGACUGCAUUGGAAAAUGUUUAACUGGAGUACAGGAGGGGUAAGCGGAAUUCCUGGUGGAGCGGUGAAAUGCGUAGAUAUUAGGAGGAACACCAGUGGCGAAGGCGGCUUACUGGACUGUAACUGACGUUGAGGCUCGAAAGCGUGGGGAGCGAACAGGAUUAGAUACCCUGGUAGUC
This 440-nucleotide ribosomal RNA is filed under the name uncultured bacterium. RNAcentral describes it as "partial 16S ribosomal RNA". It matches the Rfam family "Bacterial small subunit ribosomal RNA", at positions 338 to 795 of the family's 1533-position model. The record is from RNAcentral.